This 598-nucleotide ribosomal RNA is filed under the name uncultured bacterium. Its description in RNAcentral is "bacterial SSU rRNA". It matches the Rfam family "Bacterial small subunit ribosomal RNA", at positions 338 to 960 of the family's 1533-position model. The record is from RNAcentral.
CCUACGGGAGGCAGCAGUGGGGAAUAUUGCACAAUGGGCGCAAGCCUGAUGCAGCGACGCCGCGUGAGGGAUGACGGCCUUCGGGUUGUAAACCUCUUUCAGUAGGGAAGAAGCGAAAGUGACGGUACCUGCAGAAGAAGCGCCGGCUAACUACGUGCCAGCAGCCGCGGCAAUACGUAGGGCGCAAGCGUUAAUCCGGAAUUAUUGGGCGUAAAGAGCUCGUAGGCGGUUUGUCGCGUCUGCUGUGAAAGACCGGGGCUCAACUCCGGUUCUGCAGUGGGUACGGGCAGACUAGAGUGCAGUAGGGGAGACUGGAAUUCCUGGUGUAGCGGUGAAAUGCGCAGAUAUCAGGAGGAACACCGAUGGCGAAGGCAGGUCUCUGGGCUGUAACUGACGCUGAGGAGCGAAAGCAUGGGGAGCGAACAGGAUUAGAUACCCUGGUAGUCCAUGCCGUAAACGUUGGGCACUAGGUGUGGGGGACAUUCCACGUUUUCCGCGCCGUAGCUAACGCAUUAAGNGCCCGCCGUGGGAGGACGCGCGAGAGUUAAACUUAAAGUAGUUAGUUAGAGNGNGAGNGCGACGACGACGACGAGGAGAG